UACGUAGGUGGCAAGCGUUGUCCGGAAUUAUUGGGCGUAAAGCGCGCGCAGGCGGUCCUUUAAGUCUGAUGUGAAAGCCCACGGCUCAACCGUGGAGGGUCAUUGGAAACUGGGGGACUUGAGUGCAGGAGAGAAGAGUGGAAUUCCCGGUGUAGCGGUGAAAUGCGCAGAUAUCGGGAGGAACACCAAUGGCGAAGGCAGCUCGCUGGGACGGUACUGACGCUGAGACGCGAAAGCGUGGGGAGCAAACAGG
This 253-nucleotide ribosomal RNA is filed under the name uncultured bacterium. RNAcentral describes it as "partial 16S ribosomal RNA". It matches the Rfam family "Bacterial small subunit ribosomal RNA", at positions 524 to 776 of the family's 1533-position model. The record is from RNAcentral.